Molecule: ribosomal RNA, 164 nt
Filed under: uncultured bacterium
Lineage: Bacteria
Description: partial 16S ribosomal RNA
Rfam family: Bacterial small subunit ribosomal RNA
Source: RNAcentral
UAGGGAAUCUUCCACAAUGGACGAAAGUCUGAUGGAGCAACGCCGCAUGAGUGAAGAAGGGUUUCGGCUCGUAAAACUCUGUUGUUAAAGAAGAACAUAUCUGAGAGUAACUGUUCAGGUAUUGACGGUAUUUAACCAGAAAGCCACGGCUAACUACGUGCUAG